RNAcentral lists this ribosomal RNA (908 nucleotides) under uncultured fungus. Its description in RNAcentral is "bacterial SSU rRNA". It matches the Rfam family "Eukaryotic small subunit ribosomal RNA", at positions 519 to 1412 of the family's 1831-position model. The record is from RNAcentral. Lineage: Eukaryota; Fungi.
UUCAGUAUAGGCGAUUGAUUUAGCGGCCGGAUUCGCCCUUGUGCCAGCAGCCGCGUAAUUCCAGCUCCAAUAGCGUAUAUUAAAGUUGCUGCGGCUAAAAAGCUCGUAGUUGAAACUUGGGCCUGGCUGGCAGGUCCGCCUCGCCGCGUGCACUGGUCCGGCCGGGCCUUUCCUUCUGCGGAACCCCAUGCCCUUCACUGGGCGUGGUGGGGAAACAGGACUUUUACUUUGAAAAAAUUAGAGUGCUCCAGGCAGGCCUAUGCUCGAAUACAUUAGCAUGGAAUAAUAGAAUAGGACGCUGCGGUUCUAUUUUUGUUGGGUUACUAGGGACCCGCCCGUAAAUGAUUAAAUAGGGACAGUCGGGGGGCAUCAGUAAUCCACUUGUCAGAAGUUGAAUUCUUGGAUCAUAUUGGAGGACUAACCUACCUGCGAAAAGAUUUUGGCAAGGAUGGUUUUCCAUUAAUCAAGGAACACAAAAUAGAGGGAUCGCAAAAGAAUCAGAUAUCGCCGCAGACUUAUACAUGAAAUAUGUCGAGUAGAGAUCGGACGGGGUUAUUCUUUUUCCCGCUCGCUCGCUUACGAGAAAGCAAACAGAUUGUUUGCCAUCUGGAGAUGGGUCGCACGCUGAAACUUAAAUGAAAUGACGGAAGGGCAGCACCCGGCGAGGAGCGUGCCGUGUAAUUUGAUUCGACUCGGGGAAGAUCAACUGGCCCAGACCAGAUAAAGAAAUGGAAAGAAUGAGAGCCCUUUCCCUGUCUUUGUUUUUUGGGGGGGGCGUGGCCGGUCCUUAUUUAGGUGGGGGAAUUUGUCUGUUUAUUUUCGAUGACGAAACGAAACCUUACCCUUGCUAAAGAAGACCGGGCUUGCCUCGGCUGGGGCGCGGCGUCGUUUAAGGAAAUUUUUGUUUU